This 21-nucleotide unclassified non-coding RNA is filed under the name synthetic construct. Its description in RNAcentral is "RNA from synthetic construct (PDB 7Z1O, chain R)". The record is from RNAcentral.
UAUGCAUAACGCCACAGAGCA